Molecule: long non-coding RNA, 641 nt
Organism: Oncorhynchus keta (chum salmon)
Lineage: Eukaryota; Metazoa; Chordata; Actinopteri; Salmoniformes; Salmonidae
Exons: 3
Source: RefSeq, a predicted model, not a curated record
AGACAGUAGAACUAGGUUGUAUCUGUGUGUCAGACAGUAGAACUAGGUUGUGUCUGUGUGUCAGACAGUAGAACUAGGUUGUAUCUGUGUGUCAGACAGUAGAACUAGGUUGUGUCUGUGUGUUAGACAGUAGAACUAGGUGGUAUCUGUGUGUCAGACAGUAGAACCAGGUUGUAUCUGUGUGUCAGACAGUAGAACCAGGUUGUAUCUGUGUGUCAGACAGUAGAACUAGGUUGUGUCUGUGUGUUAGACAGUAGAACUAGGUGGUAUCUGUGUGUCAGACAGUAGAACCAGGUUGUAUCUGUGUGUCAGACAGUAGAACCAGGUUGUAUCUGUGUGUUAGACAGUAGAACUAGGUGGUAUCUGUGUGUCAGACAGUAGAACUAGGUGGUAUAUGUGUGUCAGACAGUAGAACUAGGUGGUAUCUGUGUGUCAGACAGUAGAACUAGGUUGUGUCUGUGUGUCAGACAGUAGAACUAGGUGGUAUCUGUGUGUCAGACAGUAGAACCAGGUUGUAUCUGUGUGUCAGACAGUAGAACUAGGUGGUAUCUGUGUGUCAGACAGUAGAACUAGGUUGUAUCUGUGUGUUAGACAGUAGAACUAGGUUGUAUCUGUGUGUCAGACAGUAGAACCAGGUUGUA